UACGUAGGGUGCAAGCGUUGUCCGGAUUUAUUGGGCGUAAAGAGCGUGUAGGCGGCCAGGUAGGUCUGCUGUGAAAACUCGAGGCUCAACCUCGAGAUGUCGGCGGAAACCAUCUGGCUAGAGUCCGGAAGAGGAGAAUGGAAUUCCCGGUGUAGCGGUGAAAUGCGCAGAUAUCGGGAAGAACACCCGUGGCGAAGGCGGUUCUCUGGGACGGUACUGACGCUGAGACGCGAAAGCGUGGGGAGCAAACGGG
Molecule: ribosomal RNA, 253 nt
Filed under: uncultured bacterium
Lineage: Bacteria
Description: partial 16S ribosomal RNA
Rfam family: Bacterial small subunit ribosomal RNA
Source: RNAcentral